GUGUCAGCCGCCGCGGUAAUACGUAGGCAGCGAGCGUUGUUCGGAGUUACUGGGCGUAAAGAGUGCGUAGGCGGUUUCGUAAGUCUGGUGUGAAAUCUCCCGGCUCAACUGGGAGGGUGCGCCGGAAACUGCGGGGCUGGAGUGUGGGAGGGGCAAGCGGAAUUCCUGGUGUAGCGGUGAAAUGCGUAGAUAUCAGGAGGAACACCUGCGGUGUAGACGGCUUGCUGGACCACUACUGACGCUGAGGCACGAAAGCGUGGGGAGCAAACAGGAUUAGAUACCCUGGUAGUCCACGCCCUAAACGAUGCAUACUUGGUGUGAGCAGUUCAUUCUGUUCGUGCCGGAGCUAACGCGUUAAGUAUGCCGCCUGGGGAGUACGGUCGCAAGGCUGAA
RNAcentral lists this ribosomal RNA (393 nucleotides) under uncultured bacterium. RNAcentral's name for it is "bacterial SSU rRNA". It matches the Rfam family "Bacterial small subunit ribosomal RNA", at positions 505 to 898 of the family's 1533-position model. The record is from RNAcentral.